GCAAAUCCCAUAAAGUUGUUCUCAGUUCGGAUUGUAGUCUGCAACUCGACUAUAUGAAGCUGGAAUCGCUAGUAAUCGUAGAUCAGCAUGCUACGGUGAAUACGUUCCCGGGUCUUGUACACACCGCCCGUCACACCACGAGAGUUUGUAACACCCGAAGCCGGUGGAGUAACCAUUUGGAGCUAGCCGUCGAAGGUGGGACAAAUGAUUGGGGUGAAGUCGUAACAAGGUAGCCGUAUCGGAAGGUGCGGCUGGAUCACCUCCUUUCUAAGGA
This 274-nucleotide ribosomal RNA is filed under the name Staphylococcus epidermidis. Its description in RNAcentral is "partial 16S ribosomal RNA". It matches the Rfam family "Bacterial small subunit ribosomal RNA", at positions 1267 to 1533 of the family's 1533-position model. The record is from RNAcentral. Lineage: Bacteria; Bacillati; Bacillota; Bacilli; Caryophanales; Staphylococcaceae.